RNAcentral lists this small RNA (122 nucleotides) under Pan troglodytes (chimpanzee). RNAcentral's name for it is "processed transcript". The record is from RNAcentral. Lineage: Eukaryota; Metazoa; Chordata; Mammalia; Primates; Hominidae.
CGCCCAGGGUAGCGAGAUGGUAACUUGCAAGUCCGAGUUCUACCAUGAUGAGUUUAAAAGACUCUACCUGCUUUUCUUCAGUUUCCAGAGCGCUCAGGUAGUUGUAGACUUGUAGAAAAGUU